GACGAACGCUGGCGGCGUGCUUAACACAUGCAAGUCGAACGGAAAGGCCCGGCUUCUGUGGGGUGCUCGUGUGGGGAACGGGUGAGUGACACGUGAGUAACCUGCCCCUGACUUUGGGAUAAAUUCCAGAAACAGGGGACAAUACCGGAUAGGAGCUCCUGCAGCACGGUGGGGGGUGGAAAGUUACGGCGGUUGGGGCAGGUCUCGAGGCAUAUCAGCUAGGUGGUGGGGUAGUGGAUUUCCAAGGCUUUGAAGGGUAGCCGGCCUGAGAGGGUGACCGGGCACAUUGGGACUGAGGGACGGCCCAGACUGCAACGGGCGGCAGGGGUGGAAAAUAUGGCGCAAUAAGCGGAAGGCAGAUGCAGAGACGUCGGGUGCGGAAUGACUGCUUUCGGGUGGUAAACCACUUUCGACGGAAACGAAGAGGGAUUGACGGUAAUGGGUUAAAAAGCCCCGGCUAACUACGUG
Molecule: ribosomal RNA, 468 nt
Filed under: uncultured bacterium
Lineage: Bacteria
Description: partial 16S ribosomal RNA
Rfam family: Bacterial small subunit ribosomal RNA
Source: RNAcentral